Long non-coding RNA from Cyprinus carpio (common carp), 714 nucleotides. RefSeq lists it as uncharacterized. Lineage: Eukaryota; Metazoa; Chordata; Actinopteri; Cypriniformes; Cyprinidae. The record is from RefSeq and is a predicted model, not a curated record. The transcript is spliced from 2 exons.
GCUCGCUAGUUGCAAUAUAGGGAAUGUGAAGGUGACGUCACGCCGUGUUGCAUUAUGGGUCCUCCGCCAUAUUUGCAGGAUCGCGCCCGCGCCCUAUCCCGCUGUAUUUGAAUUCGUGUGUUGGAGGCUGUGUUUGGAUUUUCAGUCGAGAUUUUAAUAAACGUCGAUAUGGUUGGUCAGUACUGCUCGAUCAUAGCAGGUCACACGAUCGUUCAGGGAGGAAACUGAACAACGGAAUACGUUUUUUCAGCUUUCCUUCCUGGAAAAAACAACAAGGGAAGCAGGUGCAGGAGCUGACGAAAAGACGCCGGAUCGCGUGGGUUGCCGCAAUCAGGAGAAAAAAUUUUACUUUUCAAAACACCCCUGCAUCAGCGAGAGUGUGUUCGCUGCAUUUUCAGUCACGACAACCAUCAUUUGAAAUGCUGGACACUCAUCCUGACUGGGCACCAACUUUUGUAAAAGUUGUACAAAGCAAGAGAUGUUGUGUAUUGUAUAUUCCUUGAUGACUUGUAGGAUAGUUGAUAAAUGAUGUUGAAUUUGUGGUUCAUGUUAGCAGAUGAUAAAGCCAGGCCACAUUGCAUGAAUCAAAUCAAUUAUUUAUUUUGUUUUCAAUGAACAAUUUGCUUUGAUAUUGUGUACAUCUUUUACAUUCCUUUUUAAAAUGUUUGUGACUCAAGUUUUUAUAUAACUGCUUAAUAAAUACAUUAAGUGACU